This 29-nucleotide non-coding RNA is filed under the name Mus musculus (house mouse). The record is from RNAcentral. Lineage: Eukaryota; Metazoa; Chordata; Mammalia; Rodentia; Muridae.
UGCUAUGAAUCUGUUGUACCUUUGAGGUC